Molecule: ribosomal RNA, 491 nt
Filed under: uncultured bacterium
Lineage: Bacteria
Description: bacterial SSU rRNA
Rfam family: Bacterial small subunit ribosomal RNA
Source: RNAcentral
GAGUUGAACCUGGCUCAGGAUGAACGCUGGCGGCGUGCUUAACACAUGCAAGUCGAACGAAGCGAUUGGAAGGAAGUUUUCGGAUGGAAUUCUGAUUGACUGAGUGGCGGACGGGUGAGUAACGCGUGGGUAACCUGCCUCAUACAGGGGGAUAACAGUUAGAAAUGACUGCUAAUACCGCAUAAGCGCACAGGAUUGCAUGAUCCGGUGUGAAAAACUCCGGUGGUAUGAGAUGGACCCGCGUCUGAUUAGCUGGUUGGUGGGGUAACGGCCCACCAAGGCGACGAUCAGUAGCCGACCUGAGAGGGUGACCGGCCACAUUGGGACUGAGACACGGCCCAAACUCCUACGGGAGGCAGCAGUGGGGAAUAUUGCACAAUGGGGGAAACCCUGAUGCAGCAACGCCGCGUGAGUGAAGAAGUAUUUCGGUAUGUAAAGCUCUAUCAGCAGGGAAGAAAAUGACGGUACCUGAGUAAGAAGCCCCGGCUAAC